This is a long non-coding RNA of Bactrocera dorsalis (oriental fruit fly), 1353 nucleotides long. RefSeq lists it as uncharacterized. The transcript is spliced from 6 exons. Lineage: Eukaryota; Metazoa; Arthropoda; Insecta; Diptera; Tephritidae. The record is from RefSeq and is a predicted model, not a curated record.
AGUAGGAAUACUCGAUUGAAUGUGUUUCUGUAACCAAAUUGAAUGAAAUACUGUCGAUUGGUUUUCUCACUUCCAUUUGAGGUGAUGACAAAACAAAUGUACGUUACAUUUAAAAUGGAAUUUGUUGAAUUUAAAGCAAAUAGAAGUACGUCGGGGCGGGCUACGAAUGGCCAAAAGAGGCGGUUACUGCACUUAAUGCAGCAGCACCGCAGCGUUGGAAGGGGCCAAUUUAUGAAACCAAACACGAGGAAGGAGCACGAAGAGGUUUGGGCUGCCGCUGCUGCUGAAUUGAAUGCAUUUGGAGGGUCCCACAAGUCCCCUAAUCAGUGGAAAAAGACUGGAAAUCGGCAGUCAAGAAGCUGCACAAUGCCCACAGAGCGUUCGCCAGACGAACUGGAAACCUGCCGUUGCAGGACGGUCCAAAACCGUUGGAUGCCAUGGACCGGGAAAUUCUGGAGUUUUUUUCCAGCGACAUGGUGGACGGUGAUGGGCUCACUCCCGAAAUUGGUUUGCUGACAACUGCUGAAAUGGUCGAUGUUACCAUUGAGGAUGAGGGUGAUGCUACUGCCAACAUUGGGUAACGUUGGGACGCAAACGCGGACAGUUUGGACAUCUUCGAAGUGGAGGCACUUGAAGAGGUUGCAAUGGGUCAGGUGCUUGAGGUUGUGCCAAACAAACAGCAACCCAAACAGCACACAAACCAAAGCUGUGUGGAAGAGGCGAGCAGUCUAAUUGAAAAUCACCAUGCGCAGCUGAAAGAGAUUUUGGAGAGACAACACAAGGAGCACAUGGGUGUUUUAAAUGGAAUUCACGAUACACUGAGAGCUCUGUUGGAAAACACGACGGGAGCGACUGUUGCAUAAGGAGUAGGCACAGCAAAAUAUUCAUAUUUUCUAAAUAUUAUAUUCAUUGGUUGGGGCCAAGGCUUUGCGUAUGUACACCAAUAGCAGUAGCUGCUUCAAACGGGGUUACAUAGUCGCGCUCCAAUUGUUGUUGCAUUGUAAUCUAUUCCCGGAAGGACAGUAAUGUUCACUACAAUCGACUGUCAUUAUAAUCUUACAUAAAAAAUGAAACCGUUUUCGUUGUCACGGCAUCACGCGUGAAUGGCUGAACCGAUUUGGCUGAUUUUUUUUUUGUUGUAUUUGUUAUUAUUAGGAGAAGGUUCUUAUGUAAGAAAAAAUUACGAAAGUUGCCGGAAAACCCCUAAAAACAGCCCUUUUCUUUUCCCAUACAAACGUUUUAUUUUGUAUAUACAUACAUACAUACAUAUGUACAUAUGUAAGUAAAAAUUAUUGUUUGUUUGUUAGUAACGCUAACGCUCGAGAACGGCGGAACCAACCUUCAUGAAAUCAG